AAAAAAAAGGGUGGCAGUGACCAGCUUGUUCACGUGAGUGAGUUGAGUGGUAGAGGGUCAAGCUGCCAGGCUAUCCUGUUUCUCUUCUCCCUUCUCCACAGGAUGCUUUGAGGUGCGCAUGCGCGGUGCCCUGCUCGUGCUACUCACUUGCCGCUGAAUCUACGGGGAGUAGCAGAGGUGUGUUCGCCGCCAUUGAAGACGGCGGAAGGGAGAGAAGCAGGGAUUCCGCCGAGGGUCGGAAUCUAGGGAUCCCUGUUGACGACGCGAUGUUGGUGAUAGUGGUCGGGAGCGCAAGCGAGGAGAUGGAGGCCGGCAGCUGCCUGGGAGGCCAGGACUUCUUUUGCAGCCGUGGGUGAAAGCGGAGUUCAAGGGGUUGGAUCGAAAGCCUGGCAUUUCAGUGAACACCAUGUGCUUUGUCUAACAGGAUGAGAUAUCGCUACAAAAUCUACAAAGAAGAAAAAAUGUUAG
Lolium rigidum is the source of this 468-nucleotide long non-coding RNA. RefSeq lists it as uncharacterized. Lineage: Eukaryota; Viridiplantae; Streptophyta; Magnoliopsida; Poales; Poaceae. The transcript has 2 exons. The record is from RefSeq and is a predicted model, not a curated record.